AACGAACGCUGGCGGCAGGCCUAACACAUGCAAGUCGAGCGCCCCCUUCGUGGUAGGCUGCGGUCGCGUGUGUAACGCGUGGGAACGUUCCCUUUUCUACCGAAUUCUCUCUUUAAGUUGAGGGUAAUACCGUAUACGCUCCUUGGGGAAAAGAUUCAUCGGAAAAGGAUAGGCCCGCGUUGGUUUAGGUAGUGGGUGUGGUAAUGGCCUACCAAGCCUACGAUGCAUAGCUGGUUAGAGAGGAUGAGCAGCGACACUGGGACUGAGACACGGCCCAGAAUACUACGGGAGGGAGGAGUGGGGAAUCUUAGAAAAUGGGGGCAACGCUGAAGGAGCCAGGCUGGGUGAGUGAUGAAGGCAGUAGGGAAGUAAAGCUCUUUAAGAUGGGAAGAUAAUGACGGUACCAGCAGAAGAAGCACCGGCUAACUCCGUG
Molecule: ribosomal RNA, 433 nt
Filed under: uncultured bacterium
Lineage: Bacteria
Description: partial 16S ribosomal RNA
Rfam family: Bacterial small subunit ribosomal RNA
Source: RNAcentral